UACGGCGGGUGCGAGCGUUAUCCGGAAUCACUGGGUUUAAAGGGUGCGUAGGCGGCGCGGUAAGUCAGUUGUGAAAGCCCCUUGCUUAACGAGGGAGGGGCGAUUGAUACUGUCGAGCUUGAAUCGGGAUGAGGCAGGCGGAAUGUGGCAUGUAGCGGUGAAAUGCAUAGGUAUGCCAUAGAACACCGAUUGCGAAGGCAGCCUGCUGGGCCGGUAUUGAAGCUGAGUUACGAAAGCGUGGGGAGCAAACAGG
Molecule: ribosomal RNA, 253 nt
Filed under: uncultured bacterium
Lineage: Bacteria
Description: partial 16S ribosomal RNA
Rfam family: Bacterial small subunit ribosomal RNA
Source: RNAcentral